Salmo salar (Atlantic salmon) is the source of this 54-nucleotide non-coding RNA. The record is from Rfam. NCBI's taxonomy places the organism in Eukaryota, Metazoa, Chordata, Actinopteri, Salmoniformes, Salmonidae.
CCUAAUUACUCCUGUAAGUCUCUCUGGAUAAGAGCGUCUGCUAAAUGACUAAAA